AAAAAAAACCUAUCCUUAAUGCCCUUGCGCCGCAUCCCUCUCUGCCACCACCUGCUCCCCCAUGUGCGUUCACAGCGUGCCUACCGCUACAGCUCUGCCAUAGUCACCUGUAAACACGCAAAGAAGAAGAAGUGAACAGUAGUGAACAAUGAACUAAACAGUAGUGAACAAUGAACAGUGGUGAACAAUGAACAGUAGUGAACAAUGAACUAAACAGUAGCAAUCAAAACGUUGUAUUAAACACGAAUAUUGAGCAAUCAAAAAACUCAGUUUCAGAGUUAAAAAAGGUGAUUUUUUUUCUUCUUUUCUUUUAUUUUCAUUUUUUCCUAAAUCCAUCUCGAAUAAGAAACAAAAAACGAAAGGAAAGGGUUUAAAAGACAAACCUUCACACUUCAUCGCUAGAGACGGCUGAGGUGGACACUUCCGAUGAAAAGUGGUCGGAAAAUCGAAGGGUCAUUUGCCUAUUUCGGCGAUUUUUCACCCUUCUUUCAAACAAAUAACCCUAGAUUAGGUUUCUAGAUGGCAAGAGGAAGGCAAAGGGGAUUUUUUGGAUUCUCCGGUCGCCGUCGCCGGUGACCGGUGGUCGACACAGUGGACGACUGGCAGUCCAAUGAUCGGAGUUUGGCCAGGGAUAAAAGGGGUUGAGAGAUUUUUUUAAACUUCUUUUUUG
This 670-nucleotide long non-coding RNA is filed under the name Gossypium barbadense (sea-island cotton). RNAcentral describes it as "long non-coding RNA (GBAR_LNC002467)". Lineage: Eukaryota; Viridiplantae; Streptophyta; Magnoliopsida; Malvales; Malvaceae. The record is from RNAcentral.